UGGGGAAUAUUGCACAAUGGGCGAAAGCCUGAUGCAGCGACGCCGCGUGAGGGAUGACGGCCUUCGGGUUGUAAACCUCUUUCAGCAGGGAAGAAGCUUUUGUGACGGUACCUGCAGAAGAAGCACCGGCUAACUACGUGCCAGCAGCCGCGGUAAUACGUAGGGUGCGAGCGUUGUCCGGAAUUAUUGGGCGUAAAGAGCUUGUAGGCGGUUUGUCGCGUCUGCUGUGAAAAUCCAGGGCUUAACCCUGGACGUGCAGUGGGUACGGGCAGACUAGAGUAUGGUAGGGGAGACUGGAAUUCCUGGUGUAGCGGUGGAAUGCGCAGAUAUCAGGAGGAACACCGAUGGCGAAGGCAGGUCUCUGGGCCAUUACUGACGCUGAGAAGCGAAAGCAUGGGGAGCGAACAGG
Molecule: ribosomal RNA, 409 nt
Filed under: uncultured bacterium
Lineage: Bacteria
Description: bacterial SSU rRNA
Rfam family: Bacterial small subunit ribosomal RNA
Source: RNAcentral